Molecule: unclassified non-coding RNA, 126 nt
Filed under: Halohasta litchfieldiae
Lineage: Archaea; Methanobacteriati; Methanobacteriota; Halobacteria; Halobacteriales; Haloferacaceae
Description: HgcC family RNA
Source: RNAcentral
GACGACGAACCGGAUUUCGCGCGGAUGGUUGCACAGAAUCUCGAACGUGAAAGCGAGCAGUUUACUGGAAAUUCGAGGCGAAAGCCUCGCCCUUCAGGGCGGGGAUGAAGCCGACCAACAGUAUUC